This 327-nucleotide RNase P RNA is filed under the name Thermoplasmatota archaeon. RNAcentral describes it as "RNase P RNA component". It matches the Rfam family "Archaeal RNase P". From Rfam's summary of the family: Ribonuclease P (RNase P) is a ubiquitous endoribonuclease, found in archaea, bacteria and eukarya as well as chloroplasts and mitochondria. Its best characterised activity is the generation of mature 5'-ends of tRNAs by cleaving the 5'-leader elements of precursor-tRNAs. The record is from RNAcentral. Lineage: Archaea; Methanobacteriati; Thermoplasmatota.
AGGAGGCCGUGGCCGACCGACGGGUUCAGCCUGAGGAAAGUCCCCUCUCCAUAGAAAAUGUGGACCGGCGCAAGCUGGUGUGGUGAGAGCCACGGGUCAGGGCGCAGAAACGACACGUCCUCUAGGGAGCUAUGAAGCGUGCGAAGCCUGCUGCAAAGUAGGUGAGUUAACCCGCGGAGCAAAGAAACAGAGGGAUCGAUGAAACGGCCACUUCACCCCGCAGGAGCAAGUCCAAAUAGCCGGGAUGACCUUUUCGGGACCGGCAGGUGGGACGCGCAGGUGAAUGUCGGCUGAUACCAAACAGAAAGGGGCUUACAUCGGCCACCU